CGCCGCCGGAACUUCCGCCGCCGCGCCCGCCGCCGUAGCCGCCGCCGCCGCCGGAACUACAGGGAGUGAGGGUUGUGUUCGGUUAACUCUAACUUUGAAAAAUGGUCAGCAUUGGUGUUUUCCGGGUGAUGCACCUUGUCAAGGCUCUGUGAUCUGGUGCUGGGACACUUUUGACUGACAAGGUGAAUGUCUUCUUUCAAUCCUGGAAGUGAUCACUGAAACCAUUUGAAUUUAACCUCCAAAGUCUCUGAAUGGGAAGCCAUAGGCUGAAUGGCCCUCUUCCUGCAAUUGGCCCUGUGUCUGGAUUAUUUCACCAAAGUUUGAUGUUAUACCAAGGACAGCUGGCAUAGGAGAUCGUCCUUCAGAGACUCCACGUGGGCCUCCAGAUCGGCUUUGCACAGAGUCAACUCACCCAGGAUCCCACGCAGGCCGCCAAUGUCCGUCUCCAGCAGCUGGCGAAGAGACAGUUCAGACUCGUACCUUUCACGGCAAAAGAGAUACAGCCAAUGCUUACUUGGCUGGAGACAGUGCUGGGGAUGCUGGGGAGUGACAAGAGGACUCAAGGAAGCCACAUCCCAAAUAAUAAAUGUGAGUUUUGUGAGCAUUCUUAGCUUUUAAAAAGCUUAUAGAGAGAAUAUUUGUGGUGUCUGCACACGCACUUGUGUGUGUGAGAGAGACAGAGAGAGCGAGAGAGUGAGAGAGAGGCAGUCAUAAAUUAUUCUCAAGUUCAAAUUCAACUUACUUUGACCUAAAGUCAUCGGCAGCCAGUUUGCAGUUAUCAAGCUGAACAGCAAGUCUAGAAUUCUCUGCCUUUGUGCACAAGAUCUGGGAAGGAAGGUCGUUAUAUGUAAUAGAUGGCCCUUUGAAAGAAACCUAAAUAUCUAUUCAUUUAACAACUAUGCCAUUAUUUAUCUUUUAAAAGUCUUUAUAAGAAAGUAUAAAAUAGCUUUCAGCCUACUUCUCUUAUUAGCCAUGUCACUUCAUGAAGAGACAAGCAGGACCAAUUUAUAAAAGAAAUAGAUAAAAAAGGUUAGUUUUUCAAUGGCCUGAGACAUUUUGCAAUAUUCCUUGACAGUUGAACUCUGAUUUUUCUCCAUAAGUGGUUUGUAUUAUGACUCUGUCCCCACUCCAUGAAAAUAAAAAUUCAUCUGUAAGAAAAUGAUUCCUAGGGUGAAAUUAUGUGAUUAAAACGAUGACAUUUCAAUAUCUAUGUUACAAUAUAAAUAUAAACAUCCAGUGUUGCAUACAGAAUUAACUUUGGGUGUAACACAGUUUUUCCUUACUCUCUGGACGAUGAAGGUAAAAGUCUGGAUAUGAGAGAGUUUAUUAUGGCCGUCAGGGAUUACUGGCAUCCCCAGGGCUAAUGCUGACAUUUCCUGACUUUGGCCCACCACCCUUUCCUCUGGGUCACAUUACCUCCUGAAAAAUCCCCUUUCCCUGGGUGGACUUCCAUAGAACAGCCUCUUUUACUAUAAAGAUGAAGCAAAUCCCAGAUUGGAAGGGUGGAACAUUAGGGCAAUGAGACACCAGACCUUUUGCUGGAGAUCUUCAAUGGUGUCGAAGUAACACUGAUAAUCGGGGCACACCAGGGGGACCUCCCCUUCACACUGUUCUCGGAUCCUGCACUCCAGCUCCGCGUUCAUCUCCUCCAGGCCUCGCACCUUCUCCAGGUAGUUGGCGAGUCUGUCGUUCAGGAACUGCAUCGUCUCCUUCUCGUUGCUGUUGAACAUCCCAUCCUCACACCAAGCACCGCUCCCCACCAAGCACGGAAUGUGACAAUUCCCAGCCAAGUAGCACGGUGUGACACAGCCGGUUGCCAAGCGAGACCCAGCUAGGAAGCUAGGGGUCUGGCCUCUGGAGGUGGCUUGGGCGCUGGGGAGGUGAGUGGUUUCCAUGGAACAGGGUGAAGCGAACACACAGUCGGAAGCUGUGGCACAGGAUUCAGAGGAGCAGCACGUAGGGGAGCAGUCCGAAGUCAUCCUAUCGAACGAAGAACCAAGACUAGUUGCAAAACUCCAGCUGACUGGCUGCCGAGGUCUCCUUCCCUCCUGAGACUUUUAUACAGUCCCCCAAAUGGGUAUUUACGGAACAGACCGGAUGUUUUCCUUAUCACUGUUGGUGGCAGUUGUCAUAUGAACACUCAUCAGGGUUGUUUGUUUGCUGAGGAAGAGUUUUAUGCUUCAUAAAAGAGGCAUAACUUCAGGUUACUAAAAAAGGACACUAUUUCCAUAUGCCAAUAGGAUAAAAUGCUUGGUCCAGAAUAAAAUCUUCUUAGGAAGCGCUGUCCGUUUGGCAGACUUUGGAAAGAUGGAGAAAAUGUGGCCCCUCAGUAAUUAGAGGUACAACUCAUGACAAAUAACGAAAACAAUAUUCCCACACAUUUUGAUCCUGGGCACUGGAAAUUGUUUAUGUAUCCUCUUAAAAUUCAUAUUACAUCUCAUUAAAUGCCAUUUAUUUGUUUGUGCCACCAUCAUAAAAAUGUUCCCUGUA
Long non-coding RNA from Leopardus geoffroyi (Geoffroy's cat), 2490 nucleotides. RefSeq lists it as uncharacterized. The transcript is spliced from 4 exons. NCBI's taxonomy places the organism in Eukaryota, Metazoa, Chordata, Mammalia, Carnivora, Felidae. The record is from RefSeq and is a predicted model, not a curated record.